UUUAAAUUUGCAACAUCCCAGGAACUGUUGCCGACUCAUUCAUUAUUUUGCACAUGCGGAAACAUAAAACAAUCUCCAUACAACAAAGCAGUGGGAUAGAAACUUAGGAUAAUAUUUUUUUACAAGCCACACCUACUAUACCGUAAUACUUAUGUAUAUAGACUAGUUUAACACCCCAAGAUCCGAUACAAAAAGGUGAAGCUGUUCGAUAACCCACGAGCUAAGCUUCUAUUUACAAGACUAGGGUUCAUUACUAUACUACCCUACUUCUCGAUCUCUCGGGGGUGAGCUGUCACCUUACAUCCAGUCUUGACGGAAAACUCGUAAUUACUUGGAAGAAGAUAGCGAGAGUUCUACUCUUCAUUUACUGCGACCGAUUGUACACGAUCUGGUCUUCCUCCAUCUAGGGACCUGAAAAUUUUUAGCCCAUAAUGGGAUGAGAUCACAUCUUAGCAAGUUAAUCCCCUAAAUCCAGAGUAGGAGAAGGGUACACCCUACAUGCAAUUUAAUCACGUUUCUUACCACUCUUUUAAUGCCAGUAAGUUCAUGCAUAUUAGUAUCAAUUAAAACAUUUCUAAUAGUAUCAAGUUCACACAUCACAGAAAUGCUUUAACAUAAGUAUAUGCAAGGGCAUGAAUAUCGAUGGAAGCAUACAUGCCACAGUCAAUGCAAUAGAUAACAGUCUUCCGGAAAAAUCGGGUAUCACCUCGCACCGUCGAGCGUGGCAAUGUCUACUCUCACACGGCAUUUCGAUUAGGAGCAUCGGUCCAGCAUACACUGCCACCGGCAUCUAUUGACUUGGGACAUUCCCGAAGGAGUAUCAUUUGGCCUCAAGGCUCGUGACGGAAUCUCAUGUCAUGUAUGCGUUCAUUAAAUGCCAUAGCUCAACGCUCAAUUGCCCAAUUUAAUAACAACAUCCAUUAAACAAUUUUUACAGCAAGAAACAUCCCAAACAGUUAUGAAUUUUUACUAACCAGAAUUAACAAAAACUAUCCAAUUGCGCAUUCUCGGGUUCAAGGCCAGAAACCAACUCAUAUGAGUUCAAAAAAUUCUAAAAUUUGAACACGUGCUAAAGGACAUGUAAAAAUAUAUUUUUCAUGAGACACCGAAACCCAGAUCUCUCUAGAUUCGGCUCAGAAAUUCACGCAACCCAGCACAAAAUCGGGUCCGUUCCAGUGAUUUUGUUUUCCCGAAAUCAGCUUGGCUCGGGAUCCGAAACAAGUCCGUUUUAUUUGAAAUUUGAGUAUGUUAAAUUACAAGACAUAAAAAACAACUUUUGUGAAUGCAUCGUUUGAAGAUUCGAACUCUAAAUGUUGGUAAAGACUAGUAGAAUCCUUAUCGGUCAAAAUUUUCAAUGCAGUCUAAUUUUCUGUUUAAAGCAAACGAAGCCAGAAUCAUCUUCUUUUUAGUUUCUAAAAAUCCUGGAAAAAUUAUAUGUUAUACUUGAAGAUGUGUAAAAUAUUUCUUCAGAGGGAAAUUUUUUCAAAAUCGUAACACAUAUUAGUCUCUACAAAAAUAGUAAAUCGCGCACGUCCAAUAAACAGUUUUAAGAAACAGCCCUUGUCUUUGGCCGAAUCGUCAUCUAUGGUUCUUGUCUUGUCCUUUAAACCAUAACUAAGCCUCACCAUGGCUAAUAUAACAUUUCAAAAUAACACCCAUCCAUAUAUAAUAUCAUAUACAUCUUUCUAACUUGUAUGAAUUCCUGAUAGAGGUACACAACCCUAGUUCAAAUUUAGAAGACAACUCACCUAUUUACAACUAACGGCGGCUCUCGUUGAUUGUUGGACAACAACACAGAGACCAGCCUUGAGUCUCUUGAUGGUGAGUUGAAGCCCGAACAGCAACUAGGGUUACCGUUGGGCAACCAUAACAGCAGCACAGAGAGUCAUGAAUUUUUUUUUUGUAGAAGGAGGAAAACAUGAAGCUUGGCUGGCUGGACGUUCCUCUUAGUCACUGGUUUGUUGUCCAAGAGGGGGCAAAAACGGGGAUUGCACGUUUAAAGAAGAAGAAAACAACAGCUUGUACGAUUGAAAAAGAAAAAGGGAAAAAGAAUAAAAUAAAAGAAAGAAAGAAAGGAAAAAGGUAGAAGUAGCCGACGUGCUGUGAAAUCCAGCGGACGUCCACGCGCAGGUAAAGAAUG
This 2140-nucleotide long non-coding RNA is filed under the name Eucalyptus grandis. RNAcentral's name for it is "long non-coding RNA (EGRA_LNC000206)". The record is from RNAcentral. Lineage: Eukaryota; Viridiplantae; Streptophyta; Magnoliopsida; Myrtales; Myrtaceae.